This 374-nucleotide ribosomal RNA is filed under the name uncultured organism. Its description in RNAcentral is "bacterial SSU rRNA". It matches the Rfam family "Bacterial small subunit ribosomal RNA", at positions 525 to 896 of the family's 1533-position model. The record is from RNAcentral.
CAGAGGGUCCCGAGCGUUGUUCGGAUUCACUGGGCGUAAAGGGUGCGCAGGUGGCGAUGGCAAGUUUGGUGUGAAAGCUUCGGGCUUAACCCGGAAAUGGCAUUGAAAACUGCUGUGCUGGAGGAUCGGAGGGGGGACUGGAAUUCUUGGUGUAGCAGUGAAAUGCGUAGAUAUCAAGAGGAACACCAGUGGCGAAGGCGAGUCCCUGGACGAUACCUGACACUGAGGCACGAAAGCCAAGGGAGCAAACAGGAUUAGAUACCCUGGUAGUCUUGGCUGUAAACGGUGCGUAUUUGCUGUAAACGGAAUCGACCCCGUUUGUGGCGUAGCUAACGCGAUAAAUACGCCGCCUGGGAAGUACGGUCGCAAGAUUA